GAUGAACGCUGGCGGCGUGCCUAAUACAUGCAAGUCGAGCGAACAGACGAGGAGCCUGCUCCUCUGACGUUAGCGGCGGACGGGUGAGUAACACGUGGAUAACCUACCUAUAAGACUGGGAUAACUUCGGGAAACCGGAGCUAAUACCGGAUAAUAUAUUGAACCGCAUGGUUCAAUAGUGAAAGACGGUUUUGCUGUCACUUAUAGAUGGAUCCGCGCCGCAUUAGCUAGUUGGUAAGGUAACGGCUUACCAAGGCAACGAUGCGUAGCCGACCUGAGAGGGUGAUCGGCCACACUGGAACUGAGACACGGUCCAGACUCCUACGGGAGGCAGCAGUAGGGAAUCUUCCGCAAUGGGCGAAAGCCUGACGGGGCAACGCCGCGUGAGUGAUGAAGGUCUUCGGAUCGUAAAACUCUGUUAUUAGGGAAGAACAAAUGUGUAAGUAACUAUGCACGUCUUGACGGUACCUAAUCAGAAAGCCACGGCUAACUACGU
RNAcentral lists this ribosomal RNA (496 nucleotides) under uncultured bacterium. RNAcentral's name for it is "partial 16S ribosomal RNA". It matches the Rfam family "Bacterial small subunit ribosomal RNA", at positions 28 to 506 of the family's 1533-position model. The record is from RNAcentral.